Grus americana (Whooping crane) is the source of this 666-nucleotide long non-coding RNA. RefSeq lists it as uncharacterized. NCBI's taxonomy places the organism in Eukaryota, Metazoa, Chordata, Aves, Gruiformes, Gruidae. The transcript has 3 exons. The record is from RefSeq and is a predicted model, not a curated record.
UCAGCCUUGUCGUCAUGUUGUGUUUGGUUUACAAGAUACAAAUAGGUUUUAAAUGCUUUGCUUCAUUACACGGGGGCAUCGAGGUUGCCAUGUUCAGGCCGAGGGCAGGGCUCCUGGACAUUAGCAAAAGCAGAGACUGACGUUUCUACCUUAUGGUGUCUUAGGUUGCCACCAAACGUGCUGCCACCGGAGCACGUGUCCAGUGAUACGUGAGCACCUGUGUGUGACAUAGCCGACCUGCAAUGCCUUCAGCCCACGGCGAAGGUCAAAAAAAGUCCUGCUGGACUUUCCUUCUUUUCAGGCAUUCCUGGGAAGAAGAUGUAGUCGCCAGCUUCACAGCGUGUCAUCCAAAUCCACUGGAGCUACUCAGAAUGAACCCUUUCAAAUAUUAGCAUACGUUCAAAAUGAAAGAAAAAGCUUCCUUUAUGCCUCACCUACUCUUACACAACUGGUGAAAGCCAUGAAGAGGUUUGAAACAUCUAGCAAUCUUCCCAUGCUGACCAUUGUUUCGCUGUGACCCUCCUGAUGGACCUGCCCCAGGUCUCCUCUGUGGUCAAGAAAAUUUUCCUCACAAAACUUCAGGCCUGCUACCCUGCUUGCUGUCAAACUAUGGAGUCUUCCUUGGGCUUUCAUGGGAUUUUACUGACCUGAUGCGGUGUAGGAUGG